GUGCCAGCAGCCGCGGUAAUACAGAGGGUGCAAGCGUUGUUCGGAAUUAUUGGGCGUAAAGGGAGUGUAGGCGGUGAGUUAAGUCUUCUGUGAAAUCUACGGGCUUAGCCUGUAACGUGCAGAGGAAACUGGCUGACUUGAGUAUCGGAGAGGGCAGGGGAAUACCCAGUGUAGAGGUGAAAUUCGUAGAGAUUGGGUGGAACACCAGUGGCGAAGGCGCCUGCCUGGCUGAUUACUGACGCUGAGACUCGAAAGCAUGGGGAGCAAACAGGAUUAGAUACCCUGGUAGUCC
This 292-nucleotide ribosomal RNA is filed under the name uncultured bacterium. Its description in RNAcentral is "partial 16S ribosomal RNA". It matches the Rfam family "Bacterial small subunit ribosomal RNA", at positions 505 to 796 of the family's 1533-position model. The record is from RNAcentral.